AAAACGACUCUCGGCAACGGAUAUCUCGGCUCUCGCAUCGAUNAANAACGUAGCA
This 55-nucleotide ribosomal RNA is filed under the name Irlbachia nemorosa. Its description in RNAcentral is "partial 5.8S ribosomal RNA". The record is from RNAcentral. Lineage: Eukaryota; Viridiplantae; Streptophyta; Magnoliopsida; Gentianales; Gentianaceae.